UAUAAAGUAGGUUAGAGGAAACCUUUGGGCUCAUAUCCCAAAAAUAUUGGUUUAAACCCAGUCUUUAUAUUU
RNAcentral lists this transfer RNA (72 nucleotides) under Ophiophthalmus serratus. Its description in RNAcentral is "tRNA-Met". It matches the Rfam family "tRNA". From Rfam's summary of the family: Transfer RNA (tRNA) molecules are approximately 80 nucleotides in length. Their secondary structure includes four short double-helical elements and three loops (D, anti-codon, and T loops). Further hydrogen bonds mediate the characteristic L-shaped molecular structure. tRNAs have two regions of fundamental functional importance: the anti-codon, which is responsible for specific mRNA codon recognition, and the 3' end, to which the tRNAs corresponding amino acid is attached (by aminoacyl-tRNA synthetases). tRNAs cope with the degeneracy of the genetic code in two manners: having more than one tRNA (with a specific anti-codon) for a particular amino acid; and 'wobble' base-pairing, i.e. permitting non-standard base-pairing at the 3rd anti-codon position. Lineage: Eukaryota; Metazoa; Echinodermata; Ophiuroidea; Amphilepidida; Ophiacanthidae. The record is from RNAcentral.